AAGGUGCGGCAGCUACCAUGCAGUCGAGCGGUAACAGAUCCAGCUUGCUGGAUGCUGACGAGCGGCGGACGGGUGAGUAAUGCAUAGGAAUCUGCCCGAUAGUGGGGGAUAACCUGGGGAAACCCAGGCUAAUACCGCAUACGUCCUACGGGAGAAAGGGGGCUUCGGCUCCCGCUAUCGGAUGAGCCUAUGUCGGAUUAGCUAGUUGGUGAGGUAACGGCUCACCAAGGCCACGAUCCGUAGCUGGUCUGAGAGGAUGAUCAGCCACAUCGGGACUGAGACACGGCCCGAACUCCUACGGGAGGCAGCAGUGGGGAAUAUUGGACAAUGGGGGGAACCCUGAUCCAGCCAUGCCGCGUGUGUGAAGAAGGCCCUCGGGUUGUAAAGCACUUUCAGCGAGGAAGAACGCCUAGCGGUUAAUACCCGCUAGGAAAGACAUCACUCGCAGAAGAAGCACCGGCUAACUCCGUGCCAGCAGCCGCGGUAAUACGGAGGGUGCAAGCGUUAAUCGGAAUUACUGGGCGUAAAGCGCGCGUAGGUGGCUUGAUAAGCCGGUUGUGAAAGCCCCGGGCUCAACCUGGGAACGGCAUCCGGAACUGUCAAGCUAGAGUGCAGGAGAGGAAGGUAGAAUUCCCGGUGUAGCGGUGAAAUGCGUAGAGAUCGGGAGGAAUACCAGUGGCGAAGGCGGCCUUCUGGACUGACACUGACACUGAGGUGCGAAAGCGUGGGUAGCAAACAGGAUUAGUCCCUG
RNAcentral lists this ribosomal RNA (751 nucleotides) under Vreelandella aquamarina. Its description in RNAcentral is "bacterial SSU rRNA". It matches the Rfam family "Bacterial small subunit ribosomal RNA", at positions 33 to 789 of the family's 1533-position model. Lineage: Bacteria; Pseudomonadati; Pseudomonadota; Gammaproteobacteria; Oceanospirillales; Halomonadaceae. The record is from RNAcentral.